RNAcentral lists this ribosomal RNA (397 nucleotides) under uncultured bacterium. RNAcentral describes it as "bacterial SSU rRNA". It matches the Rfam family "Bacterial small subunit ribosomal RNA", at positions 362 to 776 of the family's 1533-position model. The record is from RNAcentral.
UAUNGCACAAUGGGGGAAACCCUGAUGCAGCNACGCCGCGUGAAGGAAGAAGUAUCUCGGUAUGUAAACUUCUAUCAGCAGGGAAGAAAAUGACGGUACCUGACUAAGAAGCCCCGGCUAACUACGUGCCAGCAGCCGCGGUAAUACGUAGGGGGCAAGCGUUAUCCGGAUUUACUGGGUGUAAAGGGAGCGUAGACGGUGUUGCAAGUCUGAUGUGAAAGGCGGGGGCUCAACCCCUGGACUGCAUUGGAAACUGUGAUACUCGAGUGCCGGAGAGGUAAGCGGAAUUCCUAGUGUAGCGGUGAAAUGCGUAGAUAUUAGGAGGAACACCAGUGGCGAAGGCGGCUUACUGGACGGUAACUGACGUUGAGGCUCGAAAGCGUGGGGAGCAAACAGG